Molecule: long non-coding RNA, 140 nt
Organism: Corvus hawaiiensis (hawaiian crow)
Lineage: Eukaryota; Metazoa; Chordata; Aves; Passeriformes; Corvidae
Exons: 3
Source: RefSeq, a predicted model, not a curated record
AGAGCAUCCCCAGCACCCACUGAUCACAGAAUCACAGAAUGAACGAGGUUGGAAAAGACCUUUUAGAUCAUCAACUCCAACCUAUGCCCUAACCUAACCUCCUCAUCAACUAAACCAUGGCACCGAGUGCCACGUCCAGG